CCUACGGGAGGCAGCAGUGGGGAAUAUUGGGCAAUGGGCGCAAGCCUGACCCAGCAACGCCGCGUGAAGGAAGAAGGCUUUCGGGUUGUAAACUUCUUUUGUCAGGGACGAAGCAAGUGACGGUACCUGACGAAUAAGCCACGGCUAACUACGUGCCAGCAGCCGUGGUAAUACGUAGGUGGCAAGCUUUAUCCGGAUUUAUUGGGUGUAAAGGGCGUGUAGGCGGGAAUGCAAGUCAGAUGUGAAAACUAUGGGCUCAACCCAUAGCCUGCAUUUGAAACUGUAUUUCUUGAGUGCUGGAGAGGCAAUCGGAAUUCCGUGUGUAGCGGUGAAAUGCGUAGAUAUACGGAGGAACACCAGUGGCGAAGGCGGAUUGCUGGACAGUAACUGACGCUGAGGCGCGAAAGCGUGGGGAGCAAAUAGGAUUAGAUACCCUUGUAGUC
Molecule: ribosomal RNA, 443 nt
Filed under: uncultured bacterium
Lineage: Bacteria
Description: partial 16S ribosomal RNA
Rfam family: Bacterial small subunit ribosomal RNA
Source: RNAcentral